AAAAUCAGCACACAAUUAUAUCUAUAUACUAGUGACAAGAAAUGGAAGGAAAAAUAUCAAGAUUUGGUACAUCAAACCACACUGAAAUAGUUGAACAAGAAAUUGCAGUUGAAGCGCUCAAAUACUCUUUAUGGGCCAUGCCUAUUUAAAAUUCUUGGUAAAACCUAAAAAGAACAAAAAGUGAGGAGGGUAGAAAGAAGAAAAAAUUAUUAACUACCGUAUAUAUACAAAGUAACUUACAUUGAUCUUUUUCCGUCACUUUGUUCAAUUCAUUUUGCAUCCUCUAUUGAGUGACCGAAAUUAACACAAAAAAUCCAAAGCAAGUAGAGGAAGAAGAAGAAGAAGAUAAUGAACAAGAAAAACAACUUGAGUCAUUGCUAUGUCUACUAGGAAGAAGUCCUUACUACGUCUAUUGGAAAAUUUAAACCAACCAUUCUAAGAAUGACAAAGGCGUACUCAGAAAAUGGCUAUUGAAGAUUUCAUCUGUCCAUACCCUCCUCAAGAACUUCAUGAGGGCUCUCAUUUAUGCUAUCUAAAGAAGGUUUCCACCCAGAAUUAGCCUUUUCUCUGCCUCUUUGUAUCUCUCCCAGUACAUCUUCCAAACUCUUCCAUUCUUUAUUCUUUUGCUGGAAAAGUAGCCACUGCAAUUCCUCCUUUGUCAAUAUAAUUUUCACUGUCAUUUUACUACCUUUUUCUAAGCCAUUUUCUUCUGAUUUCUCCUCUCGUUGUGGUGCCUUCUUCUCCAUUAAUUUAUUGUUGUUUCUGCAUUUUUUCAUGCAAUUUCCCAUUUGUUAAAAUUGAGAAAUAGGUGUCUCUCAAAGAAAUUGGAUUACUAUUCUGAACUAAUAAUUGAGAGUCACAAAAAUGGUUAAGAAUUGCGUGUGCGCGCUCAUUUCCUUUUUAUAGAUACGAUUAGACAAACUCUUACACAUAUUUAUUGCUAAACUAUACAUUGUAUUUUUCAAAUUUUUAUUAAACCUGACGUUGACGUUG
RNAcentral lists this long non-coding RNA (993 nucleotides) under Olea europaea subsp. europaea. The record is from RNAcentral. Lineage: Eukaryota; Viridiplantae; Streptophyta; Magnoliopsida; Lamiales; Oleaceae.